Molecule: small nucleolar RNA, 106 nt
Organism: Suricata suricatta (meerkat)
Lineage: Eukaryota; Metazoa; Chordata; Mammalia; Carnivora; Herpestidae
Source: Ensembl
AUCCUUUUAUAGUUCGUAAGUGUGACGACUGGUUAUUCACACUAUUUAUUAUGUGAAAUGUGCCUUUUAAACCUUAUUACGACUUUGGCACAUUACCCGUCUGAUG